CCUACGGGUGGCAGCAGUGGGGAAUAUUGCACAAUGGGGGAAACCCUGAUGCAGCAACGCCGCGUGAGUGAAGAAGUAUUUCGGUAUGUAAAGCUCUAUCAGCAGGGAAGAAGAUGACGGUACCUGAGUAAGAAGCCCCGGCUAACUACGUGCCAGCAGCCGCGGUAAUACGUAGGGGGCAAGCGUUAUCCGGAUUUACUGGGUGUAAAGGGAGCGUAGACGGUGAGACAAGUCUGAAGUGAAAGCCCGGGGCUCAACCCCGGGACUGCUUUGGAAACUGCCUGACUGGAGUGCUGGAGAGGCAAGCGGAAUUCCUAGUGUAGCGGUGAAAUGCUUAGAUAUCACGAAGAACCCCGAUUGCGAAGGCAGCCUGCCGCAGCGUUACUGACGCUGAAGCUCGAAAGCGCGGGUAUCGAACAGGAUUAGAUACCCUUGUAGUC
This 440-nucleotide ribosomal RNA is filed under the name uncultured bacterium. RNAcentral describes it as "partial 16S ribosomal RNA". It matches the Rfam family "Bacterial small subunit ribosomal RNA", at positions 338 to 795 of the family's 1533-position model. The record is from RNAcentral.